CCGCCAUUUUCUCUCCCUCAGGAUGCUGCUCAGUUGGCGAACGCUGCUGUUCCCCUCACCUUCCCCGCUGUGAUUGCCUCAUGCCGAUACACCUCAGAGCUUGGGGACGGGUAAUUUUCUAACUUAAAGGGAAAAUAACACAAAGUAAGCUUUUCCCGCUUAGGUGGCCGUGCAGGGCAAAGCCCUCGCUGCUCUGCCCACCAGCCCCAGGAGAAGGCGCAGAGCUGGGCUCGCUUAUUUGCUGCAGGACACACUUAAAUCAUCCUCAGCUUUAACUAACACCACAGGCUGCUUGGAAUGCAAAAGAUCUAUGAAAAUAUACCCUCUGGUUGCAGCUGGUGUGGAAAAAGAAGAAAUUAUAAGGGAGGGGAAGCAGAAUUGUAAAGGUUAAGCAAUUUCUCAGGUUCACAAAGCAAGCAGUGGCAGGAUGAGGAAUAAACCCACGGUCUGGUCUCCUGUUCCAGCCACUACACCUUGUGUUCCUCCCCACUCGUGCAAAUUACAGUACUUGUGUUAUGACUAAACAGAUGACAGGUGAAGGAGGUGGCAUUUACAGAAGAAGAAAAAGGAAAAUCACUAAAGGGAAUCACAACUAAAAGGGCAAAACCAGAGAGGUACAAAGAUACAAAGCUUGUGUAAGAUCCAGGUCUGCCUGGGAGGACCUGAGGGAAGGCUGUCACCCCGAAUCACAGUCAGCACUUCAGGAGGAGACAGUGCUGAAGAAUUGGUUUGCACCAGGAUUUUGUGCCACAGCCAAAUAAAUCACCAUGCCUUGUAUGUGCUACUGUUAAAGGUUAUUAAAUCUUGGCAAAGACCUCAGCAAACAA
Long non-coding RNA from Empidonax traillii (willow flycatcher), 827 nucleotides. RefSeq lists it as uncharacterized. The record is from RefSeq and is a predicted model, not a curated record. The transcript is spliced from 5 exons. NCBI's taxonomy places the organism in Eukaryota, Metazoa, Chordata, Aves, Passeriformes, Tyrannidae.